UUACACUUUCCCAGUCUCUGAAAGAUAGA
RNAcentral lists this non-coding RNA (29 nucleotides) under Rattus norvegicus (Norway rat). Lineage: Eukaryota; Metazoa; Chordata; Mammalia; Rodentia; Muridae. The record is from RNAcentral.